RNAcentral lists this transfer RNA (48 nucleotides) under Stanhopea saccata. RNAcentral describes it as "partial tRNA-Leu". Lineage: Eukaryota; Viridiplantae; Streptophyta; Magnoliopsida; Asparagales; Orchidaceae. The record is from RNAcentral.
AAAUCCGUCGAAUUUUCAAUCGUGAGGGUUCAAGUCCCUCUAUCCCCA